AGGGCACCACCAGGAGUGGAGCCUGCGGCUUAAUUUGACUCAACACGGGGAAACUUACCCGGCCUGGACACUGGAAGGAUUGACAGAUUGAGAGCUCUUUCUUGAUUCAGUGGGUGGUGGUGCAUGGCCGUUCUUAGUUGGUGGAGCGAUUUGUCUGGUUAAUUCCGAUAACGAACGAGACUCUAGCCUAUUAAAUAGGCUCUCGGCUUUUAAACGCCGGGAGGACUUCUUAGAGGGACAGGUGGCGGUUCAGCCGCACGAAAGAGAGCAAUAACAGGUCUGUGAUGCCCUUUGUUGUCCGGGGCCGCACGCGCGCUACACUGAAGAGAUCAGCGUGCUUUACGUUCCUGCUCCGACCGGAGUGGGGAACCCAGUGAACCUUCUUCGUGAUUGGGAUAGAAGAUUGUAAUUAUUCUUCUUGAACGAGGAAUUCCCAGUAAAUGCGAGUCAUAAGCUCGCGUUGAUUACGUCCCCGCCCUUUGUACACACCGCCCGUCGCUACUACCGAUUGAACGAUUU
Molecule: ribosomal RNA, 519 nt
Filed under: uncultured eukaryote
Lineage: Eukaryota
Description: SSU rRNA
Rfam family: Eukaryotic small subunit ribosomal RNA
Source: RNAcentral